Molecule: long non-coding RNA, 1462 nt
Filed under: Junco hyemalis (dark-eyed junco)
Lineage: Eukaryota; Metazoa; Chordata; Aves; Passeriformes; Passerellidae
Description: lncRNA (ENSJHYG00000009237.1)
Source: RNAcentral
GGAGGCUUUGGGCUGCGCUCUGCCCCGGCCAGCCGUGAAAGGUCCUGUGUAGGAAUGUCGCAGGCUGAAGUCACCCCAGUGCGGGGGACACGGGCCCCUGGGCAGGAACUGCUCCAGGAAGGGGGGCUCUGGCACAGCCAGGCAGGCGCCAGGCUGGACAGAGCAGGAGGAAGGCACUGCGGCCAAGCACUGCCAGGGUCGGCCAAGUGUCUGCCCUCUCCCCACCUCCUCGGCCUGGUGCCUGGGGGUGGGUUGUGUCAUCACCCUUCCCUCCGUGGCCAUGGGCAGGAGCUGGGGCUGCCCCUAUGGGGCAGGUGCCCGGCUGAAGCAGAAACUGCGGUUUUGGGGCCGUGGGUCCCCCUGCCGCCCCCAUUGCCGGGGACAUUGUGCUUUCCCGUCCACUCCCCCCGCUGCUGGGCUGCCUGCCCUCCACGCAGGAGACGAGGGAUUUCACAACCCAGCCCAGACAGGAUUAAAGAGAAAUACACAAGUAAACAAAUCGCGGCCUCCUAACGCUGGACGCGCCGUUCGGGGAGCGGAUCCUGCGGGCCGUCAAACUGCCCCUGUCAGAGGAAAGGAGUUGCUUCCUGUUAUUUCCAUUGAAAUCCUUGUCCCGCUCGUUAGCCGGCAGGCUUUGGCAGGAUGGCACCGCGCACGCACAUCAGCUCCGGCCGCCUCUCCCGGGGGCUCCUGCUGCUCUCCGAGCGGAAUUACACCGCCAUCACACAGCACUGCUGGGAUUACUUCGUCUACCUGAUGAGGAAUGUGCUGCCAUCGGAGCUGUGCGAGUGGAAAAUCAUCAGCAGGUACGGGCCAGCAGGACUGUGAGAGCCUGAAUGAGGGAUGUGGGAGUCCAGGUGGCUCUUCAAAAUGCAGUUUAUUCCAUCCAAGACCUUUCAGCAGUCCAGGGUCAUGAGUAACAGAGCCUGUGCCUACAGCUGUCAGCUCCAGCUGCAGGCAGGCCUGGAGACCCUUUGGUUUAGGUUACAAUGCAUUAUAUACUUUUCUUUUGGUUACAAUACAUUAUAUACUUUUCUUUUAGCUACGAUGCAUUAUAUACUUUUCUUUGCUGAGCAUCUUCAUACAGUAGAACCAAUCUGUACCUUAACUUUUACCUAUAGCCUAUCAUAACUACUGUAAUUACCAUAUUCAUGUUACUGUUCUCCAAUCACUCAAAGUCAGUACAUUACAGUGUAAGCUGGAAGUUGUUUUCCAGUUUUCUUGCAGUAGAAAAUUCUGAGACCUUUUUUCUACUUGCAACAUCAGCAGGCUUGUUUGCCUGUGCUAUUGUUUCUGCUUGGUAAAAACAUCUUCUUGCUCUAAGUCCUAAAAACCCCUUCUAACUGACAUAAACCUUACCUUCUUAGUUAUCCUGUAAGACUGGCUCAGCAAUUCUUUUCUUCUAUACCAAAACUUGCUUUAAUUUCUAUUCCUUCAUCAGACUCUACAUUUAAAAAUCUUU